RNAcentral lists this ribosomal RNA (440 nucleotides) under uncultured bacterium. RNAcentral's name for it is "partial 16S ribosomal RNA". It matches the Rfam family "Bacterial small subunit ribosomal RNA", at positions 338 to 795 of the family's 1533-position model. The record is from RNAcentral.
CCUACGGGAGGCAGCAGUGGGGAAUAUUGCACAAUGGGGGAAACCCUGAUGCAGCGACGCCGCGUGAGUGAAGAAGUAAUUCGGUGUGUAAAGCUCUAUCAGCAGGGAAGUAAAUGACGGUACCUGAGUAAGAAGCCCCGGCUAACUACGUGCCAGCAGCCGCGGUAAUACGUAGGGGGCAAGCGUGAUCCGGAUUUACUGGGUGUAAAGGGAGCGUAGACGGCAGGUGAAGUCAGUAGAGAAAGGGGGGGGCUCAACCCCCGAACUGCACUGGAAACUGUAAGGCUGGAGUGCAGGAGAGGUAAGCGGAAUUCGUAGUGUAGCGGUGAAAUGCGUAGAUAUUAGGAGGAACACCAGUGGCGAAGGCGGCUUACUGGACUGUAACUGACGUUGAGGCUCGAAAGCGUGGGGAGCAAACAGGAUUAGAUACCCCAGUAGUC